GUACAGAGCCCCUCCUAUCACCUAUUCUGUAUAUACAUUGAUCUGGAGCAUGCAAUGAAUUACUGCAGGAUUUAAUAUCGUGCCCUAGCUUAAUCUAAAAGACAUUUUUUUGCCAUGUUUUAGCUCCACAAAGGAAGAAUCCAUAUAUAGUUCUAUUUUUUUUUUUUAAAUGUGGAAAAAUGUAAAUAAAAUAAAGAAAUUCUUUGAAAU
Non-coding RNA from Pelobates cultripes (western spadefoot toad), 210 nucleotides. The record is from the annotation of a GenBank genome assembly. NCBI's taxonomy places the organism in Eukaryota, Metazoa, Chordata, Amphibia, Anura, Pelobatidae.